CAGUAGCCGCGGGAAUACGUAGGGUGCGAGCGUUAAUCGGAAUUACUGGGCGUAAAGCGUGCGCAGGCGGUUGUGUAAGACAGGUGUGAAAUCCCCGGGCUCAACCUGGGAAUGGCAGUGGAUACUGGCUCGCUAGAGUGUGUCAGAGGAUGGUGGAAUUCCCGGUGUAGCGGUGAAAUGCGUAGAGAUCGGGAGGAACAUCAGUGGCGAAGGCGGCCAUCUGGGACAACACUGACGCUGAGGCACGAAAGCGUGGGGAGCAAACAGGAUUAGAUACCCCAGUAGUCCCUGUCUCUUAUAC
This 301-nucleotide ribosomal RNA is filed under the name uncultured bacterium. RNAcentral describes it as "partial 16S ribosomal RNA". It matches the Rfam family "Bacterial small subunit ribosomal RNA", at positions 509 to 807 of the family's 1533-position model. The record is from RNAcentral.